This 415-nucleotide ribosomal RNA is filed under the name uncultured cyanobacterium. RNAcentral's name for it is "bacterial SSU rRNA". It matches the Rfam family "Bacterial small subunit ribosomal RNA", at positions 357 to 786 of the family's 1533-position model. Lineage: Bacteria; Bacillati; Cyanobacteriota. The record is from RNAcentral.
GGGAAUUUUCCGCAAUGGGCGAAAGCCUGACGGAGCAAUACCGCGUGAGGGAGGAAGGCUCUUGGGUUGUAAACCUCUUUUCUCAGGGAAGAACACAAUGACGGUACCUGAGGAAUCAGCAUCGGCUAACUCCGUGCCAGCAGCCGCGGUAAGACGGAGGAUGCAAGCGUUAUCCGGAUUUAUUGGGCGUAAAGCGUCCGCAGGUGGUUAUUCAAGUCUGCUGUCAAAGCGCGAGGCUUACCUUCGUAAAGGCAGUGGAAACUGAAUGACUUGAGAAUGAUAGGGGCAGAGGGAAUUCCCAGUGUAGCGGUGAAAUGCGUAGAGAUUGGGAAGAACACCGGUGGCGAAAGCGCUCUGCUGGGUCAUAUCUGACACUGAGGGACGAAAGCUAGGGGAGCGAAAGGGAUUAGAUACC